Transfer RNA from Camelus ferus (Wild Bactrian camel), 73 nucleotides. It matches the Rfam family "tRNA". Rfam says of the family: Transfer RNA (tRNA) molecules are approximately 80 nucleotides in length. Their secondary structure includes four short double-helical elements and three loops (D, anti-codon, and T loops). The record is from Rfam. NCBI's taxonomy places the organism in Eukaryota, Metazoa, Chordata, Mammalia, Artiodactyla, Camelidae.
GAGGGUAUAGCAUAAGUGGUAGAGCUCAUGCUUAGCAUGCAUGAAGUCCUGGGUUCAAUCCCCAGUACUUCCU